This 2599-nucleotide long non-coding RNA is filed under the name Sarcophilus harrisii (Tasmanian devil). RNAcentral's name for it is "lncRNA (ENSSHAG00000002072.2)". Lineage: Eukaryota; Metazoa; Chordata; Mammalia; Dasyuromorphia; Dasyuridae. The record is from RNAcentral.
ACUGAUUCUAUCAUUUAUUUGACCCAAAUAUCCUGAAAACAAAAAAACAAAAACAGGCAUUAUCUGUACAAAAGUAUAUAUAGCUGUUUUAUUUGUAAUUGUGAAUAAAAUGUGGGGACAACUUAUAUGUACAGUUUGAGAAUGGCUGAAUAAAUCAUGGCAUAUUGAUAGAAUUAAAUAUAAUGGUAUAAAAAUGGUAAAUAUGAAUAUAAGAAAUAUGGAAAGUUUAUAAAUAAAAAGAUCAGCAGAAUUAGCACUUUAUAUAAAUUAACUACAGUAAUUAUUCAUGUAUGAUUUAGUGACCUAGUCUGUGAUUUCAUCAAUGUACGAGAUUCCCUCUUUUCAUCAAUGCAACUCAUCUAUUAAUUCAGUCUUAAGUUACAUGAGGCAUAAGGGAAGUUGUGACUUGAGUGAGUCUCAGAGGUAGGCUUUGAGCCUACAAGACCUUUUAUUUCUAAAAAUAAAAAGAGAGCUAGCCCUCUAUCCACUACACCUUGGUAUUUAUUCUAUACACAUACAUUCUAAGACUAGCCUUCUAUCAUGCCUUGGUAUCUAUUCCAUAUACACACACAAACCCUCAAAAAUAGUAGAACCGUAUGAAUUUGGAAGAAGACUACAAACAUUUUUUGUCUAUUUAAAUAGUUCUAUAUUGCUAAAUGUUUAUGUAAGAUUUUAUUUUGUUUUGUAUGUUUAGUUGAUUUUGUUGAUGAUCAUUAAAUUGUAAUUAUUAAAAUGUAAAUUGUAAUAGAAUCAGCCCAGUCUCAGAACCUGAGGGACUUACUUGGAAUAAGAUCUGGUUUCAAAGUACCUCUGGUACUUACUAGCUAUGUGAUUCUGGGGAAACAACUUUUUUCAUUUAAUUUUCAUUUUAUUUUUUUUUUCAAUUAACAUGUAAACAAAAAUUUUUAACAUUUUUUUUUUUUUUUUAACAAUUUGAGUUCAAAUUCUUUAUCUCCCUCUGGGCUCUCCCUACUCCAAAAGUUUAUACAUAUGUAGUCAUGCAAAACAUUUUCAUAUUGGCCAUGUUGCAAAUGGGUAAACCAUUUAACUUCUGUGUACUUAUUAAGUUGUAUAUUGAUUGCCAUCUGUUUGGAUAAGGCAGUUUCCAUACCAGAAGCUUAACCAUUCUGACUAAAUUACAAGUCCUUUCUAUAUUUUCAUGUUAAACGGAUAAUUAUAAAUUUUUAAAUGAGGGUACUGUAUAUUAUCUUUAAGAUUCUUUUAAGAUCUAUUGUAAGUUCAUACACAGAUAAGCAUAAUAUUUCAAAAUUAUUACUUCUUUGAAAUAUGAAGAAAAAUGACAAAAUAUCAAAAAAUUUAAUAAGUUACAUCUCAUUUAAUUUGCUUUCCAAAAAAAGAAUAGAAAUUUCUUUAUUGAUUAAAAAAAAGUUGCCUUUGCAAAGUCCUCUAGAGACAAAUACCAAACUUAUUACAAUACAUGUAAGUAAACACACCAUAAUACCAAACCCAUGAAAUUUUUCAAAGAUAGAACAAUUUACAUCUAAUUCCAAAGUACUCAGGGAAAUCAACCGGCUUCUCAUAGCAGUUAUUGUACAAGUCACUUGGAACAAAGAAAUACUCCUGCCCAGAGUUAAAUGGUGAAGAGCUGUGUGGGGUUCACCUAUUAAUUGAGUUUAUCUAGACUACACUAUCUACAACUUUGAUUUUUAGGGCUCAUCCCCUAUUCUGUGCAAAGUUAUUGCACAUGAAUGGUAAAUACUAAAACCAAGAAGCCAAAACAUAUUAAAGAAUAACCAGACUCACUAAUAGAUGAGUAAUUAGGUUCUCUUGUUUUCUUAGCAAUUAGAAUAACUUGGGUAUUAAUAAUCCUAAUGAAUGCAUUUGGCUAUGGCUGGAGUAGAAAAAUGUUUGCCCUUCUAAGGGAAACAGUAGGAAGAAUACACGAGUUGGAUGGAGUCUGAGGCCCUGAGGUUACAAUCUUGGUUCUGCUUUUUUAUCAGUUGAAUAAACUCAUAUAACUUGGAUGUAAACUAUAUAUAUAUAUAUACACACAUAUAUAUAUAUAUAUACAUAUGUAUGUCUAAAACUUACACCCAAAUUAUGUUUGUCCACUUACAUCCAUAUAUGUGUGUAUGUUGGUUAAAUUAUAUAACUUGAAUUGGUUAUAUAACUGUUCAAGAACUGUACCCUGGAAAUGGAGGAGGAAAUUCAAAACGAGCCUCCCAGCUCUGGAUCAGGAUGUAACAGCUGUAGCUGUUAUGUACAAUAGAAGGGGAUAAUGUCCCUGAUUUUUUUUUUUGAACCUCACUUGUAAAACGAGGAUUGUUAUGAGAGUUAAGAAAAUUAUAUUUAUCAAUCAUUUUUAUUAGAUUUUAAAGGUCAUCCAGGUCCAACCUACUCAUUUUACAGAUAAGUCCCAGAGAGGCUCAGGGAUUUGCUCAGUCACACAGUUCCAAGAUUCAAACCUGGUUCCAUCAGCUCCAAAUCCAGACCUCUUUUUACUAUAUGCUGCUACCUCCUCUUGUCUCAGUAUUUAAGCAUUUAUGAUCUGGGGCUUAGGGUAUUAUUAUUAGGAAUAAUUGGAUUUAAAUAUAGGGGAUUUUAUCUCACAGGAUACAACAACUUUGUAUUUAUAUAU